UUGGAGGGCAAGUCUGGUGCCAGCAGCCGCGGUAAUUCCAGCUCCAAUAGCGUAUAUUAAAGUUGUUGCAGUUAAAAAGCUCGUAGUUGAAUUUCGGAGUUUGUCGGUUGGUCGGGCUUCACUGUCCGCACUGACCUGAUGGAUCCCUACCUUCUGAAUAACCAGCAUGCUAUUAAGUUAGUGCGUUGGGGAAGCAGAGCUAUUACCUUGAAAAAAUUAGAGUGCUUAAAGCAGGCUUAUGCUUGAAUAGAUUAGCAUGGAAUAAUAAAAUAGGACGGCAUGGUUCUAUUUUGUUGGUUUCUAGGAUCACCGUAAUGAUUAAUAGGGAUAGUUGGGGGCAUUAGUAUUUAAUUGUCAGAGGUGAAAUUCUUGGAUUUAUUGAAGACUAACUUCUGCGAAAGCAUUUGCCAAGGAUGUUUUCAUUAAUCAAGAACGAAAGUUAGGGGAUCGAAGACGAUCAGAUACCGUCGUAGUCUUAACCAUAAACUAUGCCGACUAGGGAUCGGACGAUGUUAAUUUUUUAAUGACUCGUUCGGCGCCUUACGGGAAAC
RNAcentral lists this ribosomal RNA (551 nucleotides) under uncultured Glomeromycotina. RNAcentral describes it as "SSU rRNA". It matches the Rfam family "Eukaryotic small subunit ribosomal RNA", at positions 548 to 1098 of the family's 1831-position model. The record is from RNAcentral. Lineage: Eukaryota; Fungi; Glomeromycota.